CCUCUGGGUCCAACCUCCCACCCGUGUUUAUCGUACCUUGUUGCUUCGGCGGGCCCGCCUCACGGCCGCCGGGGGGCAUCCGCCCCCGGGCCCGCGCCCGCCGAAGACACACAAACGAACUCUUGUCUGAAGAUUGCAGUCUGAGUACUUGACUAAAUCAGUUAAAACUUUCAACAACGGAUCUCUUGGUUCCGGCAUCGAUGAAGAACGCAGCGAAAUGCGAUAAGUAAUGUGAAUUGCAGAAUUCAGUGAAUCAUCGAGUCUUUGAACGCACAUUGCGCCCCCUGGUAUUCCGGGGGGCAUGCCUGUCCGAGCGUCAUUGCUGCCCUCAAGCACGGCUUGUGUGUUGGGCUCUCGCCCCCCGCUUCCGGGGGGCGGGCCCGAAAGGCAGCGGCGGCACCGCGUCCGGUCCUCGAGCGUAUGGGGCUUCGUCACCCGCUCUGUAGGCCCGGCCGGCGCCCGCCGGCGAACACCAUCAAUCUUAACCAGGUUGACCUCGGAUCAG
Molecule: ribosomal RNA, 505 nt
Filed under: Penicillium sp. GXU20
Lineage: Eukaryota; Fungi; Ascomycota; Eurotiomycetes; Eurotiales; Aspergillaceae
Description: eukaryotic LSU rRNA
Rfam family: 5.8S ribosomal RNA (bases 166-319)
Source: RNAcentral